Molecule: unclassified non-coding RNA, 21 nt
Filed under: Mus musculus (house mouse)
Lineage: Eukaryota; Metazoa; Chordata; Mammalia; Rodentia; Muridae
Description: oocyte_clustered_small_RNA13344
Source: RNAcentral
UUGAGGCCGUGAUGCCCACCA